Molecule: ribosomal RNA, 465 nt
Filed under: uncultured bacterium
Lineage: Bacteria
Description: partial 16S ribosomal RNA
Rfam family: Bacterial small subunit ribosomal RNA
Source: RNAcentral
GACGAACGCUGGCGGCGUGCUUAACACAUGCAAGUCGAACGGAAAGGCCCUGCUUUCAGUGUACUCGAGUGGCGAACGGGCGAGUAACACGUGGGUGAUCUGCCCUGCACUUCGGGAUAAGCCUGGUCAGCUGGGUCUAAUACCGAACAGGUGCCAUUUUUAGCGUGAUGGUUGGAUAGUUUUGUCGGGUUAUGGUGAGUUCGCGGGCUAUCGGCUUGUUGGUGGGGUAAUGUGCUACCAAGGCGGCUAGGGGUAGCCGCCCUGUGGGGGUGACCGGCGACAUUGGGACCGAGAGGAGGCACAGGCAGGGACGGGAGGCAGAUGGGGGGAAUAUUGCAGAAGGGGCGCAAGCCGAAUGAAGAGGCGCCGCGUGGGGGAUGACGCUCUUAGGGGUGUAAACUAAUUUCGCAAGGGACGAAGCUUUUUGUGACGGUACCUAGUCAAGAAGCACCGGCUAACUACGUG